GGCGGCGUGCCUAAUACAUGCAAGUCGAACGCUUCUUUUUCCACCGGAGCUUGCUCCACCGGAAAAAGAAGAGUGGCGAACGGGUGAGUAACACGUGGGUAACCUGCCCAUCAGAAGGGGAUAACACUUGGAAACAGGUGCUAAUACCGUAUAACAAUCAAAACCGCAUGGUUUUGAUUUGAAAGGCGCUUUCGGGUGUCGCUGAUGGAUGGACCCGCGGUGCAUUAGCUAGUUGGUGAGGUAACGGCUCACCAAGGCCACGAUGCAUAGCCGACCUGAGAGGGUGAUCGGCCACAUUGGGACUGAGACACGGCCCAAACUCCUACGGGAGGCAGCAGUAGGGAAUCUUCGGCAAUGGACGAAAGUCUGACCGAGCAACGCCGCGUGAGUGAAGAAGGUUUUCGGAUCGUAAAACUCUGUUGUUAGAGAAGAACAAGGAUGAGAGUAACUGUUCAUCCCUUGACGGUAUCUAACCAGAAAGCCACGGCUAACUACGUGCCAGCAGCCGCGGUAAUACGUAGGUGGCAAGSGUUGUCCGGAUUUAUUGGGCGUAAAGCGAGCGCAGSCGGUUUCUUAAGUCUGAUGUGAAAGCCCCCGGCUCAACCGGGGAGGGUCAUUGGAAACUGGGAGACUUGAGUGCAGARGAGGAGAGUGGAACU
RNAcentral lists this ribosomal RNA (659 nucleotides) under Enterococcus faecium. Its description in RNAcentral is "bacterial SSU rRNA". The record is from RNAcentral. Lineage: Bacteria; Bacillati; Bacillota; Bacilli; Lactobacillales; Enterococcaceae.